This 18-nucleotide non-coding RNA is filed under the name Arabidopsis thaliana (thale cress). Lineage: Eukaryota; Viridiplantae; Streptophyta; Magnoliopsida; Brassicales; Brassicaceae. The record is from RNAcentral.
CUAUAAUUGCAACUGCCU